AUUUUAAGUCACUUUAAAAAAUAACAAAUGUGUUUUAGGAAACCUAAAAACAACAUAAUAUCUAAUUUCGGGCAUUUUCUUCCUCAACAAGAAAAGUUUGAAUUCUAAAUCACUAAGAAAAUAAUAAUACCAAAAUGUGUUUUGGGAAACGUAAUCGUUUUCCUAAAAAGAAAAGGAAAGGAAACCUAAUUGAGAUUCGUGAAGGGAAACAAUAAUGAUGGCUAAAAACCGGUGUAGGAAGGAAACCCCCAAGGGGGGGUUGAUGAAAGUGGAUUCUAUUAUACACUACCGCCUUUUGUCGCAUUUCCUACUGCUAUUCUCUUCAGGUCUCUUAUCUUCCCCUAUAAAACUCAACCCUCCUUCCUUCCCAAUCUUCACACAGUCACAUUUCUCUCUGUAAAUUCCCAAAGUUUUUCAUUUCCUCCUUCUCUUUCGUAGCAAGAGCUCGAAUUUUUGUAUCUGAUUUUGUGAGAUUUUAGAUGGGUGUUCAAGUUCUCAGUCCCCAGAAUUGCCUCAAAGACUCUCUCUCACCUCAGCAAGCGCUGAUGAAUUCCAAUCGAAACCCUAACCCUAAUCGGGUCAGAACCUCUCCCCAAACCGACCGGAAGAAGCGAAGGCCGACCCGGCCCAACAACAACCCACCCGCUCCGGUCCAGAAACCCGCCGCCCCCAAGAAUAUCGUCAUGGGCCAGGUCAAAAUCCUAAAGCGCGGCGACGAAAUCCCCAAAGCGACUCCGGUUCGGUCACCACCGAAGUGGAAUCCCAAGCCUCAGGUUCCGGAUCUCGGAUCCACCAGCCGGAUGGGUCCUGACCUGAAGGUUCCGGUUCUUCCGAAGCCGGCCAAACUACCGGAACCCAACUGGGCUUCCGGGUUCUACGCCGGGUCGUCGUCGUGUAUAGCUGCGCCUCCCCCGGAGUGCCUACCUCUGCCGUCGUUCUUCGCAAAGAAGAGCGCCCCUUCAAGCACCGAUGAAGCUGCAAGCGUGCUGCUGAAGCUUCUGCGGCUCAAUUUGUCGUAGAUGGGUCGCCGGUCCAUGGCGGACCAAGCAUGUGCAGCAGUAUAGAGACCCCGUCUGGCUAAUGUUCGUGUUGUCUGAUUCUCGCCCUUCCCCUUAUCUUUUCGUGGGAAGAUAGAUGGAUGAGGUCACAAUUCGACCUAACGCUUUUUCUUCUCUUUAGAUUAUGUGCAGCAGUAGAAGGCUUCAUUUUUUUUGUUUCUUUAAAUUUGUUUUUCGUUUUCAAUUAAAUUAGGGUUUGGUUGCAUUUCCUUUGUGUCUUACAGUACAAGUAUAAGAUUAUAUUAGGGUUGGAAGGUAUAGUUUUUCAGGAGCUGUAUCUGUAAAAUUAGGUUAUAUUCUGUGUCCUAAGUUUUUACUUAUAGUUGCAAAUAUGUUAUUAGUGAAAUUUGGUUUUUAAUUAUAUUGGUGUUUGAUGGAAUUACAAAUUGAAACAAACAGAAAUGGGGUUUGAUUUGUGGGAAUUGACUUCUGGGAAUGUUCAAUUGCUGUGGGAUUAUGAUGAACAACAUGGGUUGUAAAGCUAGUAAAAAUCAAAUGGGUUACAACAGUGCUUUUGGCUGGAGCUGUCAAAAGUAAAAGCUAAAAAGCAGUUCUGUAUUUUUUUUUUUUCGUUUUCUUAAAGGUAAAGAAAAGCAGAUGGCUUCCCAAUAAACAGAAUCACUUUUUAUGUCAGUGGAAGGGUCUGCAGCUCAGUUGGGGACAGUUAU
RNAcentral lists this long non-coding RNA (1726 nucleotides) under Prunus dulcis (almond). RNAcentral's name for it is "sRNA ncRNA". The record is from RNAcentral. Lineage: Eukaryota; Viridiplantae; Streptophyta; Magnoliopsida; Rosales; Rosaceae.